UAUAUGAAUUGUUUUAGGAGA
Molecule: non-coding RNA, 21 nt
Filed under: Caenorhabditis elegans
Lineage: Eukaryota; Metazoa; Nematoda; Chromadorea; Rhabditida; Rhabditidae
Source: RNAcentral